GGUCAUGCCAAAAUCUAUUCUUUCUGCCUUCCUUCACACGCAGCCUUCUUCCUCUCCUCUCCCCCAGAAACGCCGCCGCCGCCUGCGACUCAGCCUGCCCUACUCUGCCCGCCGUCUUCGGUCUGCUUUGCCGUGGCGACCGUGUGCCGAUCUGGCCGCCCCGCGGCCGGGCACAAUCUGGAUGACCAGCGGGCGGUGGUGCACGGUCUGGGCGGCGGCGACCUGCGCGGCCCUGGUGCUGCACCGGCGCCUCCUUCCUCAGUCGCCCAGGUCCAAGGAGGCUCUCUCCUAGCCAACCUCCAGCCAUGCGUCCUCCCCUCCUCCUUGACAGACUCUCUCCUACUCUAGAGAACUAGCACGGGGCUCGUUGCUGUGCCUGAGUCGCCACAAGGACCUCGGGUGGAGGGGAUCUGGAAGUUGCUGCAUGUAGAAACGGCGAAACAUGGCAUCUAUGUGGCAUCAUCUAUCCCUUCUGCGGCUGAUGGCCGUGUCUCCCAUAAACUAUGCCCAAGUUGAUGUGGUGAACUAGCUGAAGGAAGAGCUAUGGUGGACAGAACCAAUACUUGCAGUGGAUGUGCGGAAAUAGCUAUAGGAGGAGCUAUGGGUGACAGAUCCAAGACAUGAGAUUCUAGCCAUCUUCUUGCGAAGAGUACUUUGUAGUGUCAGUGAUUUACAAGGGCGAUGCUUUGGUGCUAUUGUUCAUCGUUUCCAUGUCUCCAAAGAGGUGCCUUCAUUUUCUCUUUAUAUCGGCUACAUGUUUGUAUGUACAUUUGCACUUAUCUUUGUUUUAUACAUUUUCUUAGUGCACAACUAGCUCGAUCAGGCUCGUAUAACUGAGAAACCGUGCUUCAGGGAGAUCCAAACUCAUUUUAGAGGUUACAACACGAUAAUGGCAUUCAUAGUUUCCACCUUGAAGCAGUUACAAUUUACUAUUUUCUGUCUGUUCAAGUCUUUUUUUUUUUGGAUUCCUAUGCAUUAAAAAAAUAGUGAAUCUUUUGCUGCAUUUAUUAGGGCUUAAGGGCUGAAAUUAUUCAUCUUUGUUACUACAUCUGAGCAUACAUAUAUGUGAACAGUAUCAUAAGCUUUUAGGGAUGAAAUAAACCCAGUAUGAUCUAAGUUUCUCUCCUUGCAUUAAUUUUCUUUAUCUGAAUUUACAACAACAUUUUGGCGGCGGAGAUGGUCGAUGGGGAGAUGGCCCCGCCUCUGAUGCAGCUGGAGACGCUGCUAGCACUCAACAUGGACCAGCGCAUGGCGGAGAACCAAGCUAUAGAGGACGGAGGCUUCUUCUUGUGUCCGUGCGAAAGUGAAGCUGUACCGAUUGGCAGUGGAAGGAGCGGGGAACGGGUACAUGAAGCUUGGAUGUAAUCUGAUUUAAACUAUUUUUAAGGGAAUGCAUUACAUCACGCAGCAAGUUCAGACCAAGAAAACUGGCAUUCUGAUUCUCUCAAAUCUAAUGGCAAAAGUUCAUUGUUUACUGAAGAGGCAGAUGCGCUAACGGUGACGAUCAGUACAAAGGACAACUCAGCCGUGAACAUUAAAAGAGCAAACAAGAUUCUCGUUUUGGAGUCUGAGCCGAUUCGCAUUCGGGAUUUCUCUGGGCGAACAACCUCCAUAUUUAUAUCAUCGUCAGUGUGGACCAUGUUUUACAGCAGCAGCCCAUAGUUUCUUGUCAUUUUCGUAGUUCUGAGAAACUUCUCUUCGUUGGUCUGUUCGUUUGUCAAGAACUUGUUGUGCAAGUUAUUGUGUUAUAUGUUAGAGCAAUGAUACAUAUAUAUAAAAAACUAGGACAGGGCGAUGCUUAAUGCAUUAGUUUGUACUUACCAAAAUUAUCACUUUGCAAAGCUUUUGGUGAAGCUGCAUCCUAAGCCUGACAAGUUCCUGAUUGGUAGAUUCUACUAAAGACCACGGCCUUCAUGGUGCAUUGGCUGGUUAGCUCCUCAAUUUGUUUCUCGUACUUUGGGAUCAGUUUAGCUGUCCUUUCCUGCAAUUUUUGUACAUUGAUCAUAUAUCAGGAUUACAUGAGAUAUGUUGGAAAAA
Molecule: long non-coding RNA, 2037 nt
Organism: Triticum aestivum (bread wheat)
Lineage: Eukaryota; Viridiplantae; Streptophyta; Magnoliopsida; Poales; Poaceae
Exons: 8
Source: RefSeq, a predicted model, not a curated record